Molecule: ribosomal RNA, 486 nt
Filed under: uncultured bacterium
Lineage: Bacteria
Description: partial 16S ribosomal RNA
Rfam family: Bacterial small subunit ribosomal RNA
Source: RNAcentral
AUUGAACGCUGGCGGCAUGCCUUACACAUGCAAGUCGAACGGCAGCACGGGUGCUUGCACCUGGUGGCGAGUGGCGAACGGGUGAGUAAUACAUCGGAACAUGUCCUGUAGUGGGGGAUAGCCCGGCGAAAGCCGGAUUAAUACCGCAUACGAUCCACGGAUGAAAGCGGGGGACCUUCGGGCCUCGCGCUAUAGGGUUGGCCGAUGGCUGAUUAGCUAGUUGGUGGGGUAAAGGCCUACCAAGGCGACGAUCAGUAGCUGGUCUGAGAGGACGACCAGCCACACUGGGACUGAGACACGGCCCAGACUCCUACGGGAGGCAGCAGUGGGGAAUUUUGGACAAUGGGCGAAAGCCUGAUCCAGCAAUGCCGCGUGUGUGAAGAAGGCCUUCGGGUUGUAAAGCACUUUUGUCCGGAAAGAGAUCCUUGGCUCUAAUACAGUCGGGGGAUGACGGUACCGGAAGAAUAAGCACCGGCUAACUACGUG